Molecule: ribosomal RNA, 277 nt
Filed under: uncultured prokaryote
Description: partial 16S ribosomal RNA
Rfam family: Bacterial small subunit ribosomal RNA
Source: RNAcentral
UACGGAGGGGGCUAGCGUUAUCCGGAAUUACUGGGCGUAAAGGGUGCGUAGGUGGUUUCUUAAGUCAGAGGUGAAAGGCUACGGCUCAACCGUAGUAAGCCUUUGAAACUGAGAAACUUGAGUGCAGGAGAGGAGAGUAGAAUUCCUAGUGUAGCGGUGAAAUGCGUAGAUAUUAGGAGGAAUACCAGUUGCGAAGGCGGCCCUCUGGACUGUAACUGACACUGAGGCACGAAAGCGUGGGGAGCAAACAGGAUUAGAUACCAGGGUAGUCCCUGAG